This 131-nucleotide small nucleolar RNA is filed under the name Mesocricetus auratus (golden hamster). RNAcentral describes it as "Small nucleolar RNA SNORA71 (ENSMAUG00000005587.1)". Lineage: Eukaryota; Metazoa; Chordata; Mammalia; Rodentia; Cricetidae. The record is from RNAcentral.
CCCUGGAUUUGGGAGCAAUUAAUUACAAGCUGCCUGUGGCCUGGUCACAGAACUGCAGGGAGAGGAUGCUAAAGCCUUUCCUUGUAUCUGGGGUCCUUUCCCGUCCCUGCCAAGUCUGAUGCUUUGGAACA